GUCAACAAGGCAUGCAAUCGGGACAAACUGUGACAAUUUAACCAUCCCGGUACAUUUAUCGCCAGCGAGUCAACACAAUGAAGUACUAGUAUCCCGUGACGGAUGUCUGGAGGAGCUUUCUGCAGACAGUAACACAAUGGUUACAAUGUGCGUCCUGUCAAAGGACGAGGAAGUGAAAAGCCAUAUUCAUUCAAUCAACAAAUGUGGUUCCUGUCACAUUUCUCUUAAAUAGGACGAGGAACUGAAAAUCCUUAUUCACUCACAAAUCAAAAUGGCCAAUAUUUAUCAGACACU
This 294-nucleotide long non-coding RNA is filed under the name Haliotis rufescens (red abalone). RNAcentral's name for it is "uncharacterized LOC125381169". The record is from RNAcentral. Lineage: Eukaryota; Metazoa; Mollusca; Gastropoda; Lepetellida; Haliotidae.